RNAcentral lists this ribosomal RNA (512 nucleotides) under uncultured bacterium. RNAcentral's name for it is "bacterial SSU rRNA". It matches the Rfam family "Bacterial small subunit ribosomal RNA", at positions 36 to 507 of the family's 1533-position model. The record is from RNAcentral.
ACUGGCGGCGUGCCUAUACAUGCAAGUCGAACGCACUCUCGUUUAGAUUGAAGGAGCUUGCUCCUGAUUGAUAAACAUUUGAGUGAGUGGCGGACGGGUGAGUAACACGUGGGUAACCUGCCCUAAAGUGGGGGAUAACAUUUGGAAACAGAUGCUAAUACCGCAUAAAACCUAACACCGCAUGGUGUAGGGUUGAAAGAUGGUUUCGGCUAUCACUUUAGGAUGGACCCGCGGUGCAUUAGUUAGUUGGUGAGGUAAAGGCUCACCAAGACCGUGAUGCAUAGCCGACCUGAGAGGGUAAUCGGCCACACUGGGACUGAGACACGGCCCAGACUCCUACGGGAGGCAGCAGUAGGGAAUCUUCCACAAUGGACGAAAGUCUGAUGGAGCAACGCCGCGUGAGUGAAGAAGGUUUUCGGAUCGUAAAACUCUGUUGUUGGAGAAGAAUGUAUCUGAUAGUAACUGAUCAGGUAGUGACGGUAUCCAACCAGAAAGCCACGGCUAACUACGUG